RNAcentral lists this ribosomal RNA (573 nucleotides) under uncultured cyanobacterium. Its description in RNAcentral is "bacterial SSU rRNA". It matches the Rfam family "Bacterial small subunit ribosomal RNA", at positions 60 to 674 of the family's 1533-position model. The record is from RNAcentral. Lineage: Bacteria; Bacillati; Cyanobacteriota.
AGUCGAACGAAGUCUUCGGACUGAGUGGCGGACGGGUGAGUAACGCGUGAGAAUCUGCCCAGAGGUCGGGGACAACCAUUGGAAACGAUGGCUAAUACCGGAUAUGCCUUACGGGGUGAAAGAUUAAUUGCCUUUAGAAGAGCUCGCGUCUGAUUAGCUAGUUGGUGAGGUAAGAGCUCACCAAGGCAGCGAUCAGUAGCUGGUCUGAGAGGAUGACCAGCCACACUGGGACUGAGACACGGCCCAGACUCCUACGGGAGGCAGCAGUGGGGAAUUUUCCGCAAUGGGCGAAAGCCUGACGGAGCAAGACCGCGUGAGGGAGGAAGGCUCUUGGGUUGUAAACCUCUUUUGUCAGGGAAGAACAAAAUGACGGUACCUGACGAAUCAGCAUCGGCUAACUCCGUGCCAGCAGCCGCGGUAAUACGGAGGAUGCAAGCGUUAUCCGGAAUUAUUGGGCGUAAAGCGUCCGCAGGUGGCUGAUCAAGUCUGCGGUCAAAGACCGGGGCUUAACCCUGGAAAGGCCGUGGAAACUGAUAGAGCUAGAGUACCGUAGGGGUAGAGGGAAUUCCCGGU